RNAcentral lists this long non-coding RNA (391 nucleotides) under Manihot esculenta (cassava). RNAcentral describes it as "long non-coding RNA (MESC_LNC003665)". Lineage: Eukaryota; Viridiplantae; Streptophyta; Magnoliopsida; Malpighiales; Euphorbiaceae. The record is from RNAcentral.
AGAUGUAUUAGUCAAAUCAGCUUCUUGAGAAGCAAAAAACUUAAUACUGUAUUGUUUCAAUCCAUCAAACCAAUCAGAGCACGUAGCACAUAUAUUAGAGUAAAUUAAAAAAUUUAAGAGAAAAAAACCCUAGGCUGUUUGGGGCCAGGAGCGUGUGUCCGUGCAACAGAAAGAGGGAGAAGAGACGGAACUAACCCCAUAUCCAUUUCAUUGUAGUCGUCAUCCGCCAUGAUUGAUUAUGGAAGACAAGCAAAACUAGGGAUACUGAAGCAAAAACCCUAAGCAGGGAUACUGAAGCAAAAACCCUUUCUCUACUUUAUCCGGAGUUAAUUUGGUUAAAGUAUGCCCGUAUGUAUCGCCAAUUCGCUCUUCACCAACACCGACCUCCUCC